RNAcentral lists this transfer RNA (72 nucleotides) under Nippostrongylus brasiliensis. It matches the Rfam family "tRNA". From Rfam's summary of the family: Transfer RNA (tRNA) molecules are approximately 80 nucleotides in length. The record is from Rfam by way of RNAcentral. Lineage: Eukaryota; Metazoa; Nematoda; Chromadorea; Rhabditida; Heligmosomidae.
GUCUCGGUAGCAUAGUGGUUAGUGCACAACUCCGGAUAGGUUGAAACGCGGGUUCGAAUCCCGCCUGAGAGG